UGCGCCCGCCAGUAUUCUGGCGGGCAUGCCUGUCCGAGCGUCAUUUCAACCCUCAAGCCCCCGGGCUUGGUGUUGGAGAUCGGCGAGCCCCCCGGGGCGCGCCGUCUCCCAAAUAUAGUGGCGGUCCCGCUGUAGCUUCCUCUGCGUAGUAGCACACCUCGCACUGGGAAACAGCGUGGCCACGCCGUAAAACCCCCCACUUCUGAAAGGUUGACCUCGGAUCGGGUAGGAAUACCCGCUGAACUUAAGCAUAUCAAUAAGCGGAGGAAAAGAAACCAACAGGGAUUGCCCUAGUAACGGCGAGUGAAGCGGCAACAGCUCAAAUUUGAAAUCUGGCCUUCGGGUCCGAGUUGUAAUUUGUAGAGGAUGCUUUUGGUGAGGUACCUUCCGAGUUCCCUGGAACGGGACGCCAUAGAGGGUGAGAGCCCCGUCUGGUUGGAUACCGAUCCUCUGUAAAGCUCCUUCGACGAGUCGAGUAGUUUGGGAAUGCUGCUCUAAAUGGGAGGUAUAUGUCUUCUAAAGCUAAAUAUUGGCCAGAGACCGAUAGCGCACAAGUAGAGUGAUCGAAAGAUGAAAAGCACUUUGAAAAGAGAGUUAAAAAGUACGUGAAAUUGUUGAAAGGGAAGCGCUCAUGACCAGACUUGGGCUUGGUUGAUCAUCCAGGGUUCUCCCUGGUGCACUCUUCCAGCCCAGGCCAGCAUCAGUUCGCUGUGGGGGAUAAAGGCUUCGGGAAUGUGGCUCCUCCGGGAGUGUUAUAGCCCGCUGCG
This 767-nucleotide ribosomal RNA is filed under the name uncultured Neonectria. RNAcentral describes it as "eukaryotic LSU rRNA". The stretch from base 212 to 767 matches the Rfam family "Eukaryotic large subunit ribosomal RNA", at positions 1 to 568 of the family's 3401-position model. Lineage: Eukaryota; Fungi; Ascomycota; Sordariomycetes; Hypocreales; Nectriaceae. The record is from RNAcentral.